This 468-nucleotide ribosomal RNA is filed under the name uncultured bacterium. Its description in RNAcentral is "bacterial SSU rRNA". It matches the Rfam family "Bacterial small subunit ribosomal RNA", at positions 28 to 487 of the family's 1533-position model. The record is from RNAcentral.
GAUGAACGCUAGCGGCAGGCUUAACACAUGCAAGUCGAGGGGCAGCGUGGAGCAGCAAUGCUCUGACGGCGACCGGCGGAAGGGUGCGUAACACGUGAGCGACUUGCCCGUCACAGGGGGAUAACCGGCGGAAACGGCGACUAAUACCCCAUACGAUGUGAUGCUGCAUGGCAUUGCAUUGAAAGAUUCAUCGGUGGCGGAUAGGCUCGCGGGACAUUAGCUAGACGGCGGGGCAACGGCCCACCGUGGCGACGAUGUCUAGGGGUUCUGAGAGGAAGGCCCCCCACACUGGGACUGAGACACGGCCCAGACUCCUACGGGAGGCAGCAGUGAGGAAUAUUGGUCAAUGGGCGGAAGCCUGAACCAGCCAUGCCGCGUGAAGGACUAAGGCCCCUAACGGGUCGUAAAACUUCUUUAGACGCAGAGCAAUAAGGUCCACGCGUGGACCGAUGAGAGUAUGCGUAGAAU